Molecule: long non-coding RNA, 659 nt
Filed under: Nicotiana benthamiana
Lineage: Eukaryota; Viridiplantae; Streptophyta; Magnoliopsida; Solanales; Solanaceae
Description: long non-coding RNA (NBEN_LNC030873)
Source: RNAcentral
CUAAGUUUCCAAAAUCCUCUGAAUUUCGCUUUUGAUCAAAAAGUUUACCAAAUCACGUCCGAAUGACCUAAAAGUUUUUACACACAUUCCAAAUGACACAACAGAGAAACUGCAACUUCUGGAAUUCUAUUCUGACCCCUUCAUCAAAAUCUCACAUAUCAACCGGAAAAUGCCAAAAUACCAAUUUCGUCCAUUCAAGCAUAAAUCUACUUCGGACCUCCAAAACACAUUAUAAUCUCACUCCUAAGUCCUAAAUCACCUCCUGAAUCUAUUCAAACCAUGGGAACUCACAUCUGAGCCCUCUAACACAUAAGUCAACAUUCAGUUGACUUUUCCAACUGAAGCUUCCUCAAAAAAGACUAAGUGUCUCAAACCGAACCCGAGCCAAAAACCCCGAUCACACGUACAACUAACAAUCAAAACAAUAAGAAAUAGAGAUGGAAGAAACAUAGCAAUAACUCAUGAGACGAUUGGCCGAGCUGUCACAAUAACUUGGGAAAGAAAUAUUAGGGGGAAGGGGGCGGCUGGAUGGGGGAAAGGGAGCGGGUAAGGGAGAGGGUGUGUGAGAGAGAGGGAAAUCAUAUCUUAUGUGGUUAGAUUAUAGGAAAAAUAUUCCAAUAGAGCGGGUGGGGUAGAAAAUGAGAGAGGGAGAAGGAAAA